Molecule: ribosomal RNA, 562 nt
Filed under: uncultured bacterium
Lineage: Bacteria
Description: partial 16S ribosomal RNA
Rfam family: Bacterial small subunit ribosomal RNA
Source: RNAcentral
UGGGGAAUUUUGGACAAUGGGGGAAACCCUGAUCCAGCCAUCCCGCGUGUGCGAUGAAGGCCUUCGGGUUGUAAAGCACUUUUGGCAGGAAAGAAACGUCGCGGGUUAAUACCCCGCGAAACUGACGGUACCUGCAGAAUAAGCACCGGCUAACUACGUGCCAGCAGCCGCGGUAAUACGUAGGGUGCAAGCGUUAAUCGGAAUUACUGGGCGUAAAGCGUGCGCAGGCGGUUCGGAAAGAAAGAUGUGAAAUCCCAGAGCUUAACUUUGGGAACUGCAUUUUUAACUACCGGGCUAGAGUGUGUCAGAGGGAGGUGGAAUUCCGCGUGUAGCAUGAAAUGCGUAGAUAUGCGGAGGAACACCGGAUGGCGAAGGCAGCCUCCUGGGAUAACACUGACGCUCAUGCACGAAAGCGUGGGGAGCAAACAGGAUUAGAUACCCUGGUAGUCCACGCCCUAAACGAUGUCAACUAGCUGUUGGGGCCUUCGGGCCUUGGUAGCGCAGCUAACGCGUGAAGUUGACCGCCUGGGGAGUACGGUCGCAAGAUUAAAACUCAAAGGAA